UACGAAGGGGGCUAGCGUUGUUCGGAAUUACUGGGCGUAAAGGACGCGUAGGCGGUGUGUCAAGUCAGGCGUGAAAGCCCCGGGCUCAACCUGGGAACCGCGCUUGAGACUGGCACGCUAGAGUUCGGGAGAGGAUGGUGGAAUUCCCAGUGUAGAGGUGAAAUGCGUAGAUAUUGGGAGGAACACCAGUGGCGAAGGCGGCUGACUGGACCGGUACUGACGCUGAGGCGCGAAAGCGUGGGGAGCAAACGGG
RNAcentral lists this ribosomal RNA (253 nucleotides) under uncultured bacterium. Its description in RNAcentral is "partial 16S ribosomal RNA". It matches the Rfam family "Bacterial small subunit ribosomal RNA", at positions 524 to 776 of the family's 1533-position model. The record is from RNAcentral.